This 302-nucleotide ribosomal RNA is filed under the name uncultured bacterium. RNAcentral describes it as "partial 16S ribosomal RNA". It matches the Rfam family "Bacterial small subunit ribosomal RNA", at positions 508 to 809 of the family's 1533-position model. The record is from RNAcentral.
GCAGCCGCCGCGGUAAUACGUAGGUGGCAAGCGUUGUCCGGAAUUAUUGGGCGUAAAGGGCUCGCAGGCGGUUUCUUAAGUCUGAUGUGAAAGCCCCCGGCUCAACCGGGGAGGGUCAUUGGAAACUGGGAAACUUGAGUGCAGAAGAGGAGAGUGGAAUUCCACGUGUAGCGGUGAAAUGCGUAGAGAUGUGGAGGAACACCAGUGGCGAAGGCGACUCUCUGGUCUGUAACUGACGCUGAGGAGCGAAAGCGUGGGGUGCGAACAGGAUUAGAUACCCGCGUAGUCCCUGUCUCUUAUAA